RNAcentral lists this ribosomal RNA (208 nucleotides) under uncultured bacterium. Its description in RNAcentral is "partial 16S ribosomal RNA". It matches the Rfam family "Bacterial small subunit ribosomal RNA", at positions 568 to 775 of the family's 1533-position model. The record is from RNAcentral.
CAUGUAGGCGGUUAUAAAAGCUUGAUGUGAAAUCUCUGGGCUUAACCCAGAAACUGCAUUGAGAACUGUAUGACUAGAGUUACUAAGGGGAAACUAGAAUUCCAGGUGUAGGGGUGGAAUCUGUAGAUAUCUGGAAGAAUACCAAUGGCGAAGGCAAGUUUCUAGUAGAUAACUGACGCUGAGGUGCGAAGGUGUGGGGAGCGAACAG